GACGGAGGAUGCAAGCGUUAUCCGGAAUGAUUGGGCGUAAAGCGUCUGCAGGUGGCAGUUCAAGUCUGCUGUCAAAGACCGGGGCUUAACUUCGGAAAGGCAGUGGAAACUGAACAGCUAGAGUAUGGUAGGGGCAGAGGGAAUUCCUGGUGUAGCGGUGAAAUGCGUAGAGAUCAGGAAGAACAUCGGUGGCGAAGGCGCUCUGCUGGACCAUAACUGACACUCAGGGACGAAAGCUAGGGGAGCGAACAGG
This 253-nucleotide ribosomal RNA is filed under the name uncultured bacterium. RNAcentral describes it as "partial 16S ribosomal RNA". It matches the Rfam family "Bacterial small subunit ribosomal RNA", at positions 524 to 776 of the family's 1533-position model. The record is from RNAcentral.